This is a long non-coding RNA of Cryptomeria japonica (Japanese cedar), 2085 nucleotides long. RefSeq lists it as uncharacterized. The transcript has 2 exons. NCBI's taxonomy places the organism in Eukaryota, Viridiplantae, Streptophyta, Pinopsida, Cupressales, Cupressaceae. The record is from RefSeq and is a predicted model, not a curated record.
UAAAGUUUUGUCGUGACCUAAAACAUAGAUUUAAUUUCUAUUUUAAAUUACCUCCUUAAAAACUUUCCUCUAUGUUUAAGAGAGGCCAUUUUUAUGCGGAUCUGAGCGGGUAGGGUUUGGUCGUCUCUGGAGUUUCACAUUCCGAGGAAAAAAUGGCCGUAUUUCGGCCCUUGCUGAUACUCAUCCCAGCCUCGUCCUCUGCUAUUUAGCAGUUUUCAUCACAGAUAUCAUUUUAUGGAAAGUGGCCAGUUGUCGUGGAAGCGUAAAAGAAAGAAUCAGUGGGUAUAAAGAGGGAUAAGAUGUAGGAGGACAGCAGGCAUAGGAGGAAUGGCAAGACUUUGCACAGAAUAAUUAUAGUGAGCGUGUAGUCUUCCCUGAUCCUCCCAUGCCCAUUGUUUUCUCUACAUAUCCCUCUUAUUCCACUUUGCUUCAAGAAAUCUAUGCUACAGGUAUCUGUUUUGUAUUGAUUGUUAUAUUGUUUUUACAUUUGAUAAGUUUCAACGGAUCUGUUUUGUAUUAUACAUAUAGACGUGCUGGUAGCUUGUAGAGGGAUACAUCUCUUUGCUGUACAGAUUUGCGCAAGCUGUUGAUCUAAUGAACAAUCGGUUACCUGUAAAUGAUUUGGGCAUUUGUGAAAUUCUUUAUAUCUCUUCAAUUUAGUCAUUUUGUUAUGAAGUGAUUUUAUAUUAGGAUUUCAAGAUCCAUAAGUUCUAUAUUCUAACCCUAAUUUUACAAUAAUUUAAAUCUUAAUUCUAAUUAAUUCUAAUCCUAAUUCUAACCCUAACUAUAAACAUGAUUCUAAUUUUUAUUCUAAUUUUUUAUUUUAGUUCUAGCUUUAAUCUUACAGUUACAUAUAAUUCUCUCCUUGAAAACUUAACCCCCCCCCCCUUUUUUUUUUUAAGGGCUCCGUUUUUCUCCGUGUUUGAAUGGUGAGGGUUGUCACUUUAGGAGUUUCACCAAUUUUCCCGAGUUAAAUAUGCUCGGAUAUCGGCUUCUGCUGAUACUCAUCAUAGUUCCAUGCUCUGCUAUUGAUUAGCAGUUUUCAUCAAUGAAUCUGGGGGGACACAGCGUUUAAUGGCGAGUGGCCGGUUGUCUGUUGAAGCGUAAAAACCAAAGACAUGGUGGGUAUAGUGAGGGAUAAGAUGUAGUAGGAGGACAACAGGAAUGGGAGGAAUGGAAGACUGCUCAUAGGGCAAUGUUUGGUGAGUGGUCACUAGGUUUGCAGCUGCUCUUUGCCUCUUAAAUAUUUUGCAGAUGGCUGCCGUGGUUCAUUAAUUCUAAAAUGGAGCUGCUUCAUCAAUUGGGUGGCUGAUGCGAUUCCUUAAUUCCAUGCCGGGCAUUCUUAGGUGGGAUGGAAGAUCAUCAUUUGGUUGGCUGAUGUGGUGUAACAAUAUAUUAGAUCUUAUUCACACAAGUUCUAGAAGCUUCCAAGCAGUUGAGAGAUUGUGAAAGCAGACCUAUAUAAAAAUAAUCAUAACCAUUUGAGAACAUCUUUUGACAAUUGAAGAGCUACCUUCUCUAAACAGGAUCUUUAGUUGGCUGCAUAUUGAUUCGCUUGGAUCUGAGGGACCAAGCAUUAAAGCAUUUGUGGCAUGGGUGAUCUAAGACGGCUGAGAAGUGGUAGUAAGUGUCGUGGGCCUAAGAUGCUGUAACUGCAAUCUGUUUCCAGAUCUGUUUUCGAGUCCAAUGGAGUUUAGGAACUUGCUGCCAUUUCCUGUUUGGAUGUGACAAUAGUGAGAUUGCAUGUUAUAUUGAGGCUGAACCUCAUUUGCUUUGUAUUUGAAGCUUAAAAUUUGAUAAAACACUGUUCACUUCUCACUUUCUGAGUUUCUUAUUUUUAAGCUUUUAUUGUGCAACUGUGUUCUAUGGUAUCUGGAGUCCGUUGGAUUUAACUGAACCAUACCAGGUAUUGUGCCAAGUGCUAUCAAAGCUUACUGAAGUAUCUUGGAGUUUGAAGAAUGGUCUAGAGGCAGAGGAAGAGGAGUACCUUUUUGGGGGAGGAAAAAUGCCCCAUGAAUGUUAAGAGACAGUUAUUGGAAAUCAUCAAAAGCAGUGACUCCACCUCUCAUUGGUGGCUAGGACUCC